AGAUGUCACAAUUUAGAGCCCCAAAAGUAUAAAGAGAGGGAUGGUCUCCCUGCUGCAACCAUUAGAAAAGUAGGACCGACAGCAUGCUUGCAACAAUUCGGGCACGGUUUUUGUCACCAGCCUCGACAGUGGAGUGCCUCAAUCCUGGCGUGCCUGUAAAAGACUGCGAUGCUCACUGAACUACACUGCAAGAAACAAAACAGAAAGAGGGAAAGCGUCAGACAAACCAACCAGGAACAAGGCAACAGAAGGGAGGCGGUAAAUGCUGAGGCUCGAUGACUGCAAAGCUCAGUCGGCUUGUCUGAGGGAGGACGAGACUAAAUCCAGGCAAGAAGUGAAAAGGCUGCACAGAGUUACUCAAGGUCAGCGCAUGACGACAAAGGGCUGUCUGCCGGAACGGAAGGAAAUGACACCCAAUACCCGUUCAUCCGGAAGGCUAGAAUGGAUGCUGUCUAACCCUGCUGAUCUUCUGCUAUUCUAUGGAGUCAGUCUUCACCUGAAUCUGCCAAAAUCCUGAGUAUUGUCUAGGCCUCAGUCCUGAGCUUUGCCUCCCAGUGAAUAGACCCUAUCCUUAUGAGAGAGGUCCCGUGUAUUUUGCAUUCCCCAUCAAUAGAAUCUAUCCGAGUGCUUAUUAAAGGGCUCUUACAGUGCCGAGAACUUGGUGUCUGGGUGUGUUCCGUGCCCACUCUGAGGUCCCUUCACUUCCUACAAGUGGAUUUGUAGGCUCUUUCUUCCUAGGCCUGUGCCGUGAGCACUAUUUAUCAGUCAAUAGAACGCAUUCUUAAUAUAAGAGUCACAGGAGCUUGGCGAGUUUGGAAGGGAGUUUCGGUGCAGCCGUCCCUGAAGCUUUAUGGUGAGAAUUGUCACGUGGAGACUUCCCCCAAGGCUUUACUGUGCUUAAAUGUGUAUGGAAAAUAAACCAUGAGGUCAG
This 931-nucleotide long non-coding RNA is filed under the name Mus caroli (Ryukyu mouse). RNAcentral describes it as "predicted gene 12273 (MGP_CAROLIEiJ_G0004750.1)". Lineage: Eukaryota; Metazoa; Chordata; Mammalia; Rodentia; Muridae. The record is from RNAcentral.